RNAcentral lists this non-coding RNA (23 nucleotides) under Cricetulus griseus (Chinese hamster). Lineage: Eukaryota; Metazoa; Chordata; Mammalia; Rodentia; Cricetidae. The record is from RNAcentral.
UGUUCUGAGUCUGAAUUCUUUGC